AUUUCCGGUUGAUCCUGCCGGACUCACUGCUAUCGGGUUGAGACUAAGCCAUGCGAGUUUUACGCUCCUAGGCUAUGUUAGGAGCGUGGCAUACGGCUCCGUAACACGUGGUUAAUCUACCCUUGGGACGCAGAUAACUCCGGGAAACUGGAGCUAAUAUGCGAUAUAUGAAGAGACCUGGAAUGGUUCUUCGUUUAGAGGGUGUGAAAAACAUGCUUUUUAUACUGCCCAAGGAUGAGACCGCGCCCGAUCAGGUUGUUGGUGAGGUAAUGGCUCACCAAGCCUAUAACCGGUACGGGCCCUGAGAGGGGGAGCCCGGAGAUGGGAACUGAGACAAGGUCCCAGGUCCUACGGGGCGCAGCAGGCGCGAAACCUUCGCAAUGCGCGAAAGCGUGACGAGGUUAACCCGAGUGCCAUCCGCUGAGGAUGGCUUUUCCCCAGUGUAAGGGGCUGGGGGAAUAAGGGGAGGGCAAGUCUGGUGUCAGCCGCCGCGGUAAUACCAGCUCCCCGAGUGGUGUGGACGAUUAUUUGGCCUAAAGCGUCCGUAGCCGGUCUAACAAGUCUCUCGUUAAAUCUGAUGACAUAAUCGUCAGACCGCGGGAGAUACUGUCAGACUAGAGGGCGAGAGAGGUCGACG
Molecule: ribosomal RNA, 637 nt
Filed under: uncultured archaeon
Lineage: Archaea
Description: bacterial SSU rRNA
Rfam family: Archaeal small subunit ribosomal RNA
Source: RNAcentral